This 253-nucleotide ribosomal RNA is filed under the name uncultured bacterium. RNAcentral's name for it is "partial 16S ribosomal RNA". It matches the Rfam family "Bacterial small subunit ribosomal RNA", at positions 524 to 776 of the family's 1533-position model. The record is from RNAcentral.
UACGUAGGGUGCAAGCGUUGUCCGGAAUUAUUGGGCGUAAAGAGCUCGUAGGCGGUUAGUCGCGUCUGCUGUGAAAACUCGGGGCUUAACUCCGGGCCUGCAGUGGGUACGGGCUGACUAGAGUGCGGUAGGGGAGACUGGAAUUCCUGGUGUAGCGGUGAAAUGCGCAGAUAUCAGGAGGAACACCGGUGGCGAAGGCGGGUCUCUGGGCCGGUACUGACGCUGAGGAGCGAAAGCGUGGGGAGCGAACAGG